AUUGAACGCUGGCGGCAGGCUUAACACAUGCAAGUCGAGCGGUAACAUUUCAAAGCUUGCUUUGAAGAUGACGAGCGGCGGACGGGUGAGUAACGCGUGGGAACCUGCCUUUUUCUGCGGGAUAACGGUUGGAAACGACCGCUAAUACCGCAUACGCCCUACGGGGGAAAGGUCCGCCGGAAAAAGAGGGGCCCGCGUCUGAUUAGCUUGUUGGUAGGGUAAUGGCCUACCAAGGCGACGAUCAGUAGCUGGUCUGAGAGGAUGAUCAGCCACACUGGGACUGAGACACGGCCCAG
Molecule: ribosomal RNA, 296 nt
Filed under: uncultured bacterium
Lineage: Bacteria
Description: partial 16S ribosomal RNA
Rfam family: Bacterial small subunit ribosomal RNA
Source: RNAcentral